AGAUGUAGAUAACACUCCAGACACACCUCACUUCCUGAGAGGAGAGUUAUGGCUUCCUGCAAGAGGCACAGCCAUCCCCUGGAGUCCUGAGGAGUUAGACAGCUACCUAUGGAGAGGGCACAUCUCUGACUUGUAGACCUGCUCUGAGGCUUCUCCUCUCACUUUGAGAUCCUCCAUGUACCUGUCAAAGGGUCAAAAGGCAGCUUGAGUACUUCCAGCUGCCGACAUUGGAUACCACCUCCUCCACACACGCAAACUCUCAAAAUGGACAUACACAGAGGCUGUGAUGUACCAUGGAUAGCUGACCAAGGAAAGACACCCCACCUUGCAAUGUGCUGCUUUAGCUUCUCAACAUAAGAAAAACUCCAGCAAAGGAAAACAAACGAAGCAGAGAAGACAAACGUCAAAUGUGACCUGCUAGAAACUUUGAAACAAACAGAUGUACACACUCCUCAUCCCGCAAGCAGUUCCUCUGUAGCAGCACUAUGUCUGUCAGUUCUUUCAUCAUGUUAUGAAAUAAGAAGAGAGCACAAGAGGAACUUGUUGCUGGGCUAUAAGACCAAAGCAGCCCAGAGAAAAAAUGGUAAUGCAAGCAAGAGCG
Astatotilapia calliptera (eastern happy) is the source of this 601-nucleotide long non-coding RNA. The record is from Ensembl. Lineage: Eukaryota; Metazoa; Chordata; Actinopteri; Cichliformes; Cichlidae.